This 269-nucleotide ribosomal RNA is filed under the name uncultured bacterium. RNAcentral describes it as "partial 16S ribosomal RNA". It matches the Rfam family "Bacterial small subunit ribosomal RNA", at positions 524 to 795 of the family's 1533-position model. The record is from RNAcentral.
UACGUAGGUGGCAAGCGUUGUCCGGAUUUAUUGGGCGUAAAGCGCGCGCAGGUGGUUUCUUAAGUCUGAUGUGAAAGCCCACGGCUCAACCGUGGAGGGUCAUUGGAAACUGGGAGACUUGAGUGCAGAAGAGGAUAGUGGAAUUCCAAGUGUAGCGGUGAAAUGCGUAGAGAUUUGGAGGAACACCAGUGGCGAAGGCGACUGUCUGGUCUGUAACUGACACUGAGGCGCGAAAGCGUGGGGAGCAACAGAGUAGUACCGUGUACGUC